GACGAACGCUGGCGGCGUGCUUAACACAUGCAAGUCGAACGGAAAGGCCCUGCUUUUGGGGGGUGCUCGAGUGGCGAACGGGUGAGUAACACGUGAGUAACCUGCCCUUGACUUGGGGAUAACUUCAGGAAACUGGGGCUAAUACCGGAUAGGAGCUCCUGCUGCAUGGUGGGGGUGGGAAAGUUUCGGCGGUUGGGGAUGGACUCGCGGCUUAUCAGCUUGUUGGUGGGGUAGUGGCUUACCAAGGCUUUGACGGGUAGCCGGCCUGAGAGGGUGACCGGCCACAUUGGGACUGAGAUACGGCCCAGACUCCUACGGGAGGCAGCAGUGGGGAAUAUUGCACAAUGGGCGGAAGCCUGAUGCAGCAACGCCGCGUGCGGGAUGACGGCCUUCGGGUUGUAAACCGCUUUCGCCUGUGACGAAGCGUGAGUGACGGUAAUGGGUAAAGAAGCACCGGCUAACUACGUG
This 468-nucleotide ribosomal RNA is filed under the name uncultured bacterium. RNAcentral describes it as "partial 16S ribosomal RNA". It matches the Rfam family "Bacterial small subunit ribosomal RNA", at positions 28 to 507 of the family's 1533-position model. The record is from RNAcentral.